UUAAGCCGUGGCUGCCUGCUACUCGUCGCCUGAGUGUUGAGCCUAUGUGGUAUCAGUAACCUUGAUGUCCAUCGAUCCCUUAACUAUUCCUCGAGCGCUUGGAGCCUUUUGGAUUACCUGUCUGGAAUUCUACGUACACUCCUGGACUGAGCAAUCUUCACCUUUUACUGGAUCUGUGCUACAUUACGACAAGCGUACUUCUCCUGCAGACCUGUCCACCCUCCUACGUAACUCCUGCUUCACCUUCCGCUCGCUUUCCACAGAAAGCACGUUUCGCUGUGAGCUCUACUUCAGUUCUCCUAAACCCCGUCUCCCCUGGCGGAUUCCGUUCACUCUCUAUUGGAGAGACCAGAUCCCUGUCAUCCCUGUGUAGAAUUUAGAAAUAAUAAACUUCUUUUCACCGUU
Molecule: long non-coding RNA, 405 nt
Organism: Girardinichthys multiradiatus
Lineage: Eukaryota; Metazoa; Chordata; Actinopteri; Cyprinodontiformes; Goodeidae
Exons: 2
Source: RefSeq, a predicted model, not a curated record